AGAGCGAACGCUGGCGGCAUGCUUAACACAUGCAAGUCGCACGGGCAGGGGAAACCCUGUCAGUGGCGGACGGGUGAGUAACGCGUAGGUAUCUAUCCUUGGGUGGGGGACAACGGCUGGAAACGGCUGCUAAUACCGCAUGAUGACCGAGGUCUAAAGGCGCAAGUCGCCUGGGGAGGAGCCUGCGUACGAUUAGCUUGUUGGUGGGGUAAAGGCCUACCAAGGCUACGAUCGUUAGCUGGUCUGAGAGGAUGAUCAGCCACAUUGGGACUGAGACACGGCCCAAACUCCUACGGGAGGCAGCAGUGGGGAAUAUUGGACAAUGGGCGCAAGCCUGAUCCAGCAAUGCCGCGUGUGUGAAGAAGGUCUUCGGAUUGUAAAGCACUUUCGACGGGACGAUGAUGACGGUACCCGUAGAAGAAGCCCGGCUAACUUCGUGCCAGCAGCCGC
This 450-nucleotide ribosomal RNA is filed under the name uncultured bacterium. RNAcentral describes it as "SSU rRNA". It matches the Rfam family "Bacterial small subunit ribosomal RNA", at positions 26 to 518 of the family's 1533-position model. The record is from RNAcentral.